UCAUUGUAAAUAAGAAUGUGUUAACUGAUUUGCCUAGUUAAAUAAAGGUAAAAUAAAAAUAAAUGUCUGACUACAACAGUGUAUUAACAAGCAGCAAUAAACUCAAACCAACUCAGGGCCAUAGCAAAACAUGUCUAAUCCAAUCUGGAGCCAGUCAGUCUACAUCUUUAAAGCAAAGAAUUAGCUUCCAAACGAGAUUACCUUAUUUCUUGAGCUAUGUUUAUAAUUGAGGGAUGAUGGCAAUUGUUGUCACUUUGUCUAACAGAAAAACAGAGUCCAGUUGGGUGCCAGACUGAUCCCCUGGUCAUGAACAGAUGAGGGAACCUACCAGAAGGUGCAAAUUUGUGUCAUGCGAUGCAAGUACCCUUGUGACACCUCCUCCUAUGAAAAGGACAAUCCAUCAUUGGCCUCUGAUAGUGACCCGAGUUACUGCCCUGAUGACACAGACAGCUUCAUCAACAACGACAGGCCCUCCCAGUCAACACCACCUCAUAAGAUUGCCUGCUGCAGUUUCUCAAGAGAUUUCCAGUUUGCAGCUGAACAUGCAGGUUAAGGAAGACCAGCAAGGGGGCCCUCAUCAGCAUCAUGCAGACAUGCCCUCGCUGUGAGCAUUCCUAGGAAUGGAACAGUUAGCCACAUGUUGGCAAUUAUCCAGCCAGCCACUUUCACCUGUCAGUGGCAACAGCUUUCACAGGCUCAUCAUUUGUACAAAUACAGAAGUAUCUUUGAUAAGGGGCCAGGUGCUGAUCUACGCUGCUAUGCCCAUCAAUGGGGCGCUGGCAAAGACCUCACCUCCAGCCUCACCUCUUGUCUGCUCACCAACUGUCAUCGAUGGGGAGAACAUAUUUUGAAACAUGUAUGGAGCCAGCACAUGGAGAUGAUGUGAU
This is a long non-coding RNA of Coregonus clupeaformis (lake whitefish), 887 nucleotides long. RefSeq lists it as uncharacterized. The record is from RefSeq and is a predicted model, not a curated record. NCBI's taxonomy places the organism in Eukaryota, Metazoa, Chordata, Actinopteri, Salmoniformes, Salmonidae. The transcript has 5 exons.